ACGAAGGGGGCGAGCGUUGUUCGGAAUUACUGGGCGUAAAGGGCGCGUAGGCGGCGACCCAAGUCAGAUGUGAAAGUCCUGGGCUUAACCUGGGGACUGCAUUUGAUACUGCAGUGCUUGAGGACUGGAGAGGAGACUGGAAUUCAUGGUGUAGCAGUGAAAUGCGUAGAGAUCAUGAGGAAGACCAGUGGCGAAGGCGGGUCUCUGGACAGUUCCUGACACUGAGGCACGAAGGCCAGGGGAGCAAACGGGA
Molecule: ribosomal RNA, 253 nt
Filed under: uncultured prokaryote
Description: partial 16S ribosomal RNA
Rfam family: Bacterial small subunit ribosomal RNA
Source: RNAcentral